AGAGUUUGAUCCUGGCUCAGGACGAACGCUGGCGGCGUGCCUAAUACAUGCAAGUCGAACGCUUCUUUCCUCCCGAGUGCUUGCACUCAAUUGGAAAGAGGAGUGGCGGACGGGUGAGUAACACGUGGGUAACCUACCCAUCAGAGGGGGAUAACACUUGGAAACAGGUGCUAAUACCGCAUAACAGUUUAUGCCGCAUGGCAUAAGAGUGAAAGGCGCUUUCGGGUGUCGCUGAUGGAUGGACCCGCGGUGCAUUAGCUAGUUGGUGAGGUAACGGCUCACCAAGGCCACGAUGCAUAGCCGACCUGAGAGGGUGAUCGGCCACACUGGGACUGAGACACGGCCCAGACUCUACGGGAGGCAGCAGUAGGGAAUCUUCGGCAAUGGACGAAAGUCUGACCGAGCAACGCCGCGUGAGUGAAGAAGGUUUUCGGAUCGUAAAACUCUGUUGUUAGAGAAGAACAAGGACGUUAGUAACUGAACGUCCCCUGACGGUAUCUAACCAGAAAGCCACGGCUAACUACGUGCCAGCAGCCGCGGUAAUACGUAGGUGGCAAGCGUUGUCCGGAUUUAUUGGGCGUAAAGCGAGCGCAGGCGGUUUCUUAAGUCUGAUGUGAAAGCCCCCGGCUCAACCGGGGAGGGUCAUUGGAAACUGGGAGACUUGAGUGCAGAAGAGGAGAGUGGAAUUCCAUGUGUAGCGGUGAAAUGCGUAGAUAUAUGGAGGAACACCAGUGGCGAAGGCGGCUCUCUGGUCUGUAACUGACGCUGAGGCUCGAAAGCGUGGGGAGCAAACAGGAUUAGAUACCCUGGUAGUCCACGCCGUAAACGAUGAGUGCUAAGUGUUGGAGGGUUUCCGCCCUUCAGUGCUGCAGCAAACGCAUUAAGCACUCCGCCUGGGGAGUACGACCGCAAGGUUGAAACUCAAAGGAAUUGACGGGGGCCCGACAAGCGGUGGAGCAUGUGUUUAAUUCGAAGCAACGCGAAGAACCUUACCAGGUCUUGACAUCCUUUGACCACUCU
Molecule: ribosomal RNA, 1020 nt
Filed under: Enterococcus faecalis
Lineage: Bacteria; Bacillati; Bacillota; Bacilli; Lactobacillales; Enterococcaceae
Description: bacterial SSU rRNA
Rfam family: Bacterial small subunit ribosomal RNA
Source: RNAcentral